This 488-nucleotide long non-coding RNA is filed under the name Sorghum bicolor (sorghum). RNAcentral's name for it is "long non-coding RNA (SBIC_LNC003338)". The record is from RNAcentral. Lineage: Eukaryota; Viridiplantae; Streptophyta; Magnoliopsida; Poales; Poaceae.
UGAACUCGCUUUGAAUUUUCUAUAAUUUGAAAUAUGUUCGCCACCAUCAUCAAAGUCACGUUUUGCGAAAGAAACGUGCGAAUGCUAGGGUAUUUGCGUGCACACGGCCUUGAAUUAGGGUUAGUAUCAUGAAUAUCAACAUUUCAUGCCAAAAAACGCGUUAUUUCAUGCACUCGCAGUUCAAACCUAUAUUUUUCAAGAAAUUUAAUGAAAUGAACAAAAAACCAUAAAAUAUAGCAAAUAAUGAUAAAAUUACACCAAACUUGAAUAUAUUGGAUAACUCAAACUAGGGAGCAUAAAGAAAAAAUUCGGUGGCUAAAAAACAAAAAAAAAUUAAGUUUGCCGAGAGCCCUUGAACCUGGCUCUCGGCAAAGAUCUUAUUUUGCCGAGAGCCUACAAUUGCUCUCGGCAAAGAAGGACGGCGUUACCCAGUCAGGGCCUUUGCCGAGAGCAAGGGUUAGGCUCUCGGCAAAGACACAGUAAUGCCG